This 406-nucleotide ribosomal RNA is filed under the name uncultured bacterium. RNAcentral's name for it is "partial 16S ribosomal RNA". It matches the Rfam family "Bacterial small subunit ribosomal RNA", at positions 29 to 526 of the family's 1533-position model. The record is from RNAcentral.
AUUGAACGCUGGCGGCAGGCCUAACACAUGCACGUCGAGCGAGCGGCGGACGGGUGAGUAAUGUCUGGGAAACUGCCCGAUGGAGGGGGAUCACUACUGGAAACGGUAGCUAAUACCGCAUACCAUCAGAUGUGCCCAGAUGGGAUUAGCUCGUAGGUGGGGUAACGGCUCACCUAGGCGACGAUCCCUAGCUGGGGUGAGAGGAUAACCAGGCAAACGAGACCGGAGACACGGGCCAGACUCCUACGGUAGGCAGCAGUGGGAAAUAUUGCACAAUGGGCUGAAGCCUGAUGCAGCCAUGCCGCGUGAAUGAAGAAGGCCUUCGGGUUGUAAAGCACUUUCAGCAGGGAGGCGUUACCCGCAGAAGAGGCACCGGCUAACUACGUGCCAGCAGCCGCGGUGAUUC